This 259-nucleotide ribosomal RNA is filed under the name uncultured bacterium. RNAcentral's name for it is "partial 16S ribosomal RNA". It matches the Rfam family "Bacterial small subunit ribosomal RNA", at positions 95 to 354 of the family's 1533-position model. The record is from RNAcentral.
UUGGCGAACGGGUGAGUAAUACAUAGGUAACCUACCCUUAAGACGAGGAUAGCCAUUGGAAACGAUGGAUAAAACUGGAUAGGAUAUAGAGGAAGAAUCUUUUAUAUUUAAAAGAGAGAUCUGCUUAAGGAGGGGCCUGUGGCGCAUUAGCUAGUUGGUGGGGUAAGGGCCUACCAAGGCGAUGAUGCGUAGCCGGACUGAGAGGUUGAACGGCCACAAUGGAACUGAGAACGGUCCAUACUCCUACGGGAGGCAGCAG